RNAcentral lists this ribosomal RNA (407 nucleotides) under uncultured bacterium. RNAcentral describes it as "partial 16S ribosomal RNA". It matches the Rfam family "Bacterial small subunit ribosomal RNA", at positions 28 to 526 of the family's 1533-position model. The record is from RNAcentral.
GACGAACGCUGGCGGCGUGCCUAACACAUGCAAGUCGAGCGGAGCGGCGGACGGGUGAGUAAUGCCUAGGAAUCUGACUGGUAGUGGGGGAUAACGUCCGGAAACGGGCGCUAAUACCGCAUACUAUCAGAUGAGCCUAGGUCGGAUUAGCUAGUUGGUGGGGUAAAGGCCUACCAAGGCGACGAUCCGGAACUGGUCUGAGAGGAUGAUCAGUCACACUGGGACUGAGACACGGUCCAGACUCCUACGGGAGGCAGCAGUGGGGAAUAUUGGAAAAUGGGCGAAAGCCUGAUCGAGCCAUGCCGCGUGAGUGAAGAAGGUCUUCGGAUUGUAAAGCACUUUAAGUUGUGAGGCGUUACCAACAGAAUAAGCACCGGCUAACUUCGUGCCAGCCGCCGCGGUAAUUC